GUGCCAGCAGCCGCGGUAAUACGGAGGGUGCAAGCGUUAUCCGGAUUCACUGGGUUUAAAGGGUGCGUAGGUGGAUUAGUAAGUCAGUGGUGAAAGCCCCGAGCUCAACUUGGGAAUUGCCAUUGAUACUGCUAGUCUUGAGUUCGGUUGAGGUAGGCGGAAUAAGUCAUGUAGCGGUGAAAUGCUUAGAUAUGACUUAGAACACCGAUUGCGAAGGCAGCUUACCAAGCCGACACUGACACUGAGGCACGAAAGCGUGGGGAUCAAACAGGAUUAGAUACCCGAGUAGUCC
This 292-nucleotide ribosomal RNA is filed under the name uncultured bacterium. Its description in RNAcentral is "partial 16S ribosomal RNA". It matches the Rfam family "Bacterial small subunit ribosomal RNA", at positions 505 to 796 of the family's 1533-position model. The record is from RNAcentral.